RNAcentral lists this ribosomal RNA (497 nucleotides) under uncultured bacterium. RNAcentral describes it as "partial 16S ribosomal RNA". It matches the Rfam family "Bacterial small subunit ribosomal RNA", at positions 28 to 507 of the family's 1533-position model. The record is from RNAcentral.
GAUGAACGCUGGCGGCGUGCCUAAUACAUGCAAGUCGAGCGAACAGACGAGGAGCUUGCUCCUUUGACGUUAGCGGCGGACGGGUGAGUAACACGUGGAUAACCUACCUAUAAGACUGGGAUAACUUCGGGAAACCGGAGCUAAUACCGGAUAACAUGUUGAACCGCAUGGUUCAACAGUGAAAGACGGUCUUGCUGUCACUUAUAGAUGGAUCCGCGCCGCAUUAGCUAGUUGGUAAGGUAACGGCUUACCAAGGCAACGAUGCGUAGCCGACCUGAGAGGGUGAUCGGCCACACUGGAACUGAGACACGGUCCAGACUCCUACGGGAGGCAGCAGUAGGGAAUCUUCCGCAAUGGGCGAAAGCCUGUCGGAGCAACGCCGCGUGAGUGAAGAAGGUCUUCGGAUCGUAAAACUCUGUUAUUAGGGAAGAACAAAUGUGUAAGUAACUAUGCACGUCUUGACGGUACCUAAUCAGAAAGCCACGGCUAACUACGUG